This 377-nucleotide ribosomal RNA is filed under the name uncultured bacterium. RNAcentral's name for it is "bacterial SSU rRNA". It matches the Rfam family "Bacterial small subunit ribosomal RNA", at positions 521 to 896 of the family's 1533-position model. The record is from RNAcentral.
UAAGACAGAGGCCCCGAGCGUUAAUCGGAAUCACUGGGCUUAAAGGGUGCGUAGGCUGAUCCGAAAGUGCUUUGUGAAAUCCCAUGGCUCAACCAUGGAACAGCGGGGCAUACUGCGGAUCUCGAGGAAGGUAGGGGCCGCGAGAACAGUAGGUGGAGCGGUGAAAUGCGUAGAUAUCUACUGGAAUGCCGAUGGUGAAGACGCGCGGCUGGGCCUUUCCUGACGCUGAGGCACGAAAGCGUGGGGAGCAAACAGGAUUAGAUACCCUGGUAGUCCACGCCGUAAACGAUGUACGCUAGAUCGGUGCCGCUCUCACGCGGGAUCGGUCGUAGUAAAAACGAUAAGCGUACCGCCUGGGGAGUACGGUCGCAAGGCUA